CAGUGGAAACAAGGGUUUCUGGGGGGGAGCGUGCUAGCCUGGCGUUGCUAACAAAAUGUAUCCCAGUUAACGUUCUCUUUGCACCUAGUUCCACUUUGUCCGAAGAUUACCUUUUUUUUUCUUUUUUACCUAAAUUCGGAAUGGUAGGCUGGAUUGAAGGUUUCCAUCAUGGGUGUUUUUGGCCCUGCACAUAUGGAUUCAGUGAGGCGGCUGCCUGAGCGAUCACGGUACUUGCUACGGUGACAGCAGUCCUUCUGUAAUCACAGUGGGAACGUCACUGAGACAGCCCACAGCUUGUGACAUCACGGCCAGUGUCUUGAUGAGUGCUAAAUGGGCCCAGCUGCAAGGGCUGAUAUUAAUGGCUUCCAUAAGCUUGCCCACCCCUCCCAUUGCUGGUAUGGCACUGGGCUCAGGAAACAGAAAUGCGAUCCACACUUCCACCGCUGUUCUGCGGCAGGCUUGGCUUGGCGCUCCUCCAGCCAGCUGCCUGUUUUCCCGCUGCAUGGGAACAUCCUGCCUGGCUGCGACGGGGGACCUCCCUGCCCACCCCAGGCAAGCAGUCUCACUCUCUCUCUCUUUUUCACACACACGCAAACACAGGAAAGUUGGACAUCUCUGACCGUACACAUUCAAAUAAGGCUUCACACUUCAAAUAAGACUGUGUCACCUUUGUGCCUUAGAGAAGGAACACAAAGCAGAGUAGACACAAAACCUCUCCAAAUGAGGCUGAUUCUAUUUUGA
RNAcentral lists this long non-coding RNA (741 nucleotides) under Scleropages formosus (Asian bonytongue). RNAcentral's name for it is "lncRNA (ENSSFOG00015029051.1)". The record is from RNAcentral. Lineage: Eukaryota; Metazoa; Chordata; Actinopteri; Osteoglossiformes; Osteoglossidae.